RNAcentral lists this ribosomal RNA (431 nucleotides) under uncultured bacterium. Its description in RNAcentral is "bacterial SSU rRNA". It matches the Rfam family "Bacterial small subunit ribosomal RNA", at positions 29 to 507 of the family's 1533-position model. The record is from RNAcentral.
AACGAACGCUGGCGGCAGGCCUAACACAUGCAAGUCGAGCGAUCCCUUCGGGGAUAGCGGCGGACGGGUGAGUAACGCGUGGGAACGUACCCUUUGCUACGGAAUAGCCUCGGGAAACUGGGAGUAAUACCGUAUGUGCCCUUCGGGGAAAGAUUAUCGGCAAAGGAUCGGCCCGCGUUGGAUUAGGUAGUUGGUGGGGUAAUGGCCUACCAAGCCUACGAUCCAUAGCUGGUUUGAGAGGAUGAUCAGCCACACUGGGACUGAGACACGGCCCAGACUCCUACGGGAGGCAGCAGUGGGGAAUCUUAGACAAUGGGGGCAACCCUGAUCUAGCCAUGCCGCGUGAGUGAUGAAGGCCCUAGGGUUGUAAAGCUCUUUCAGCUGGGAAGAUAAUGACGGUACCAGCAGAAGAAGCCCCGGCUAACUCCGUG